AUGAAGGCCGCAUUAAAAACUAUCCUCCUAGAUACAUUACAUAAGUUGUGUCGGUGGCAUAUCAUGAAGAAGUACAAAGACCACCUCACCUUGCUAUAUAAGGCGCACGAGAAACUCAAGGAUGACCUCAAUGCGGUGCUGAACCACCCACUAAUGUCGUCAGAAUUUGAACGGGCAUGGAAGGACCUCAUCCAGAAAUACAACUUGCAAAAUGACGAAGUGAUGAAUUCAUUGUGGGAUGACAGGCAUGAGUGGAUCUCGACUUACUAGAAGGAAAUUUUCUGUGCUCGAAUGACUUCCACGCAGAGAAGCGAGAGCAUGAACCGCAUAUUGAAGAAAAACUUCGUCAAAGAGAAGCAUGAUCUCCAUCUGUUUGCUCAGCAGGUGGACAAGUGCAUUCAGACCAGGAAGGUCGUCGAGCACGCAGAGACAGUAGCAAAUGAGUCAGAGGUAAAGACAACAACCCAGUUUGGGUUCGAAGUUCAGCUAUCAAAAGUGUAUACAAGGGCAGUUUUUGCAGAUUUCAAAGAAACACUCUACCGCAGCACUGCAUUCAGAGCAGAACGGUGCCCUGAGAACCGGACAAAGUACCUCGUACACCACUACAACAGAUCAGAUGCAUUUGACUGGGCAAGGCAUAAUUUCCAAGUGAUUGCCGAUGAAGAGAAAGGUGUCUACGAAUGUGAGUGCAAACUCUGGACACACACAGGGCUCUUUUGCAUCCAUGUGUUAUGCAUGCUUUCUCACUUGAGAGUACUCAAGAUUCCUGAGGUGUACAUCAUGAAAAGAUACACCCGGAAUGCAAGAUCAAAUGCAACGUUUGACAUAAGAGACUACGAACAAACAACACCAGAUGAAAGUUCACUUUUUUGCCGUAGAAAAUUGCUGAUAGAAACAACAAUGGACCUUGCAAACAAAGCGACAAGGUCCAACACUGGGUGCCACAGAGUGUUGUCUGGUAUGAGGGCAUUGAUCAAGGAAGUUGAUGUGCUCAAUGAAGAAGAAGAAGAAGCAAAACUAAAGCAAUAA
RNAcentral lists this ribosomal RNA (1029 nucleotides) under Triticum aestivum (bread wheat). RNAcentral describes it as "partial small subunit ribosomal RNA". Lineage: Eukaryota; Viridiplantae; Streptophyta; Magnoliopsida; Poales; Poaceae. The record is from RNAcentral.